This 1440-nucleotide long non-coding RNA is filed under the name Nicotiana tabacum (common tobacco). RNAcentral describes it as "long non-coding RNA (NTAB_LNC018188)". Lineage: Eukaryota; Viridiplantae; Streptophyta; Magnoliopsida; Solanales; Solanaceae. The record is from RNAcentral.
UUCUUGUCUCCCUUCUUAUGUGCUAACUUUGAUGCUAAUAUUAUUUUACUGCUGCAUUAGUGUCUUAUUUUAUCUUGAUUUCUUUGGACGCUUGCUUGGUUUGGUGGAUUUCUUCCUAUGUGUGGUCUCAGUUGUCAAGGAUACAUGGUUGGGUAUUUUAGAUUUGACUCAAGGGUGCAAGUGGCUCUAACGGAAUGAGUGUCAUGCUUUUGUGUCUGUUGGGAAAGAUGCAGAGCAUGAACAUUUUCUUUUUGUGUCUUGAAGCUUUCUCUAAACUGCUAGUCUUAUGGAAGUUCUCGAUUAAGGUACACGUAGUCUUUAUUUUCCGUGUGUAAAGUGUGCUCAGGUGUUACCCCAGAUGCUUAUUUUCUUCAACGAUCCAACCGAUGGGACCUCUUGGUUCUGGAGACCUGAUAAAUAUUCAAUUCUGCCACAUAAAGUUCUCCUCUACAUUGGUAUUCUCAUAGGCGGAUGUAGUGUUCUCAGGACGGGUUCAACUGAACCCAUAAUUCUCGACGCGGAAUAAAAAUUUGUAUGUAAAAAUUCAUUAAAAAUUGUAAAAAUAGUAGAUAUGAACCCAUAACUUUAAAAAUAUAAUGAGUAUCUUGGAUCUGCCUCUGAGUAUUCUCUCUAUUUAUCUUCUCGUUUCUUUUGUUUACCAUGUCAGCUUGAUUUUGUUUGUUUGAUGUAGGGGUAGACCACACAGUGACACCAUAACAGAGAACUAGAUUUGGAAAGGUUAGUGUCCAGUUAUGCACUACUGACUCUCUUGUUUCUUGGUCUUUUUGGUGCUCGCACUCUGAUGGGGAUCUUCAGCUUUGAGGAAAAUCGGGUUUUUUUUUGCAUCUCUAGUGAUUUCCUCUUUAUGGUAUAGGCUUUUCCAGCUUCUCACUUGACCGGGCCUUCAGUUGGUAGUGAUUUCAGAUUGUGGGAUAUUAUUUAAUCCUGAAUUACACUGUUAUUUAACACAAUACUUUUAUCUUCAUUAUCAAACUCUUGCCUCAUUGUGAGAAGUCAUGAUUGAUUUAAAUUCUCACAGCUUAGUAGAAGUCAUAGUUGAUUAUUGGAAUUGUUACCUUCUUGGCUCGUUGAAUUCGCUAUGAUCAUCUAAUCCUAACCACUUACUGUCUUAUUAAAGAUUAGCGAGGGACACAUUGCUUGAUAUAUAGAUAUCAAAUGAGCAAAAGUGUGCGUAAUUUAGAUUUCAGUGUUUCAAAAAUCCUUUCAAGUAUUUUACAUUGUAUUGUUCCGAUUUGAUUUCUAUUUCAAAUUGAUCGAUAUCAAGAUGUUUUGUUGCGUAUUUCUUCUUUUCUCUACCCAGAGUUGUGUUGAUUUAACAGUGGAUACCUGAAACCAUUGACAGCUAGAUCAUGCAAAUGUGGGUUGAAUUAGCAAUAUUUCUUUUCCGAUCUUAAUAUUUCAGAUGUAACUGGUUCGAUC